Molecule: RNA transcript, 7868 nt
Organism: Macadamia integrifolia
Lineage: Eukaryota; Viridiplantae; Streptophyta; Magnoliopsida; Proteales; Proteaceae
Gene name: F-box/kelch-repeat protein At5g15710-like
Exons: 2
Source: RefSeq, a predicted model, not a curated record
CUAACCAACCGAACCCAUUAAGACCGAACAAAUCUCUAUUGUCUGAAACGCUUUUUUUAUCCUUCUCAUGCUUCCUCUCUCUGGAUCUUCUCCUUCUCCUUCUCCUUCUCCUUCUCCUUCUCUAUCUAGGUUUUGGUCCUCAUUAGGGUUUCCUCUCUCUCUCUCUUUCCUUCGCCUUUCUCUAGGAAGAAUCAAUCCUCGGAAGAAGCGCAACCGAAGAAUUAAGAAUCAUAAGCAAUGGUGGAACGAGGAGCGCUCUUCAAUCGAUUACCGGAAGAACUAACCGAGAGAAUCCUCGCCUACCUCCCGAUCUCCACUAUCUUCCGCUGCCGCUGCGUCUGCAAGCACUGGAACAAACUCCUCACUACCAAUUCCUUCCUUGAAUCCUGGGGUGAAUUCUCCCCCAAAGACGUCUGGUUCCUUGUCUACCACACGAGACGAACCGUCGCCGCCUACAGCCCUCGAUCGGGUUGGUGGAAUAAUCUCCCCUUAUUCGAACGAUGUUCCCUCGAUUCAUCGCAGGUACUCCUCUUAGCCUCUUCAGGCGGAUUCCUCUGCUUUCGCAAUCGGAAUUCCGAUUAUCCUACUCUUAUCGUCUGUAAUCCCGUCACUAGCACCCAUAGGGUCCUCCCUGAGAUGCCCCAGAUUCGUUACAUCGACAUCGUGGGCAUGGUUGCUGAUAGGGUUUCUGGGUCUUACACGAUUCUGGUCACUGGAACCCCUGAACCUACCUGUAAUGAGAGUAUUACUGAGGUUUACGACUCGAGAACGCAGAGGUGGGAGCAACACUGUCGUUCCCAGCAAGAGUUCUUGCAGUUUUGGUACGAAGUUCACGCGAUUUGGCAUGAUGGGUUCUUCUAUUGCCUUGCGACUCCGCUCAAUACGUCCCAAGGUUACCGAUUGAUUGCUUAUGAUAUGGAGAAGAGGGAGUGGAUCGAUUUGAAUGUGAAAAUGCCUUCUGGCGAUCUACGGUGCCCAUCGUUGCUAAUCUGUCAGGGUAAGUUGCUGUUGGCUGGAAAGAUUGUGGAAGAUUAUCUGAUUAGGAGUAUCUGUAUAUGGGAGCUUGAUAAUUUGAAAUGGGUCAAGGUUGUGGAGAUGCCUGAUGAGGUGUUGAAGAAGAUACAUUCACCUCAUUCGGUGUUGAUACAGUGCCAGGGAUAUGGGGAUCUUCUGUGCUUUAGUACGCACCGAGGAUGGCAGUCUAUAAUCUAUGAUUUGUCGAAGCGUACUUGGAAUUGGCUGCCGGAGAAUGACGUGAGCAAGUCGCAGGCAAUGGGACGGAAUAACCUUGUUGGGUUGCCGUACGAGCCUAGUUUGUGUGCAAGAGUCUAAAUUGUUUGGCUGGAAGGAAAUGGAUUGGUACUUGCAUUGGAUUGGUUGGUGCAUCUCAAGCUGACCUCCUUUUUUAAUAUCACUCAUGGCUGUUGACAUGAAAUUCUUGCUAACUAUCAAGAUCACCUGAAUCUAUGUGAAAUGUUGACAUCUUUUCCGUGCUUUCUUUGAUCGAUCCUUUGCUAGCUUGGAAACUGCUCAUAUAACAGUCAUUGUCCUGUAUAAAAUUGAAAAUUUUCUUACAUGUGAUUGUUAUGCUUCAUGUUUAUCAUAUAUGACCUUAUGAUGGUUGUUAUUUCACUCAGUCAAUUGAUGAUAGAGGUUCCUGGAAGGUUUCAAUAGACACCAAUUCUGUGGGCUUUAAUGAGGUCUUCAGAAAGUCAGAGCAACCGUUGAUUGUGGAGAGCUUGAGGGGUGAUUGAAAUACAUUCUGUUUCCUCUCAUGUCUUCUUCUUAUAUUCUGAUUUAGUGGGAUUCCCUGAUUCUUUGAUGAUUUGACUGAAAUUUGGAGGUAUAUGUGAUGUUUGUAGAGUUUGUAACUCUGAGCUUAAAAUUUGCUUUCUUUAGUUUGAUGCUGUUUCAGUCGCAAAACUGGGAUAGCUUUUAGUCAUAAUCUGUGUGUUCCACUUUUCUGCUCUAAUCUCUGAUCUAUGAUCCCAAAUUAGAUUUAAUAAGAUAAAUGAUCUGUCUGAUGAAUCUCCACCCUUGAUUUAUCUGCAUAGUAAUGUUGUCUGCCUGUGGGGAGGCAAGUUCUCUUCUGUAGUCUAUUGUAUUAGUGGUCAUAAGACAAAUCAAUCUUUGGCUCCAUGGAUAUCUUUUAGCUCCGGGUGGAGCGCUUGGAAUUUUGAGCCCGUGGAUAACUGUCUGACAUGAGAUGUGAUUCUCAUUUGUAUGUGUCUAUGAUCUUGUCAUAGACGUGGAUUGGUGUGAUUUAUCCAAUUCACAGUGGUGUCCACAUUCAAAGCCAGCAUCCAGUGAAGAACUUCGUUUGGAUUGCGACUCUUAACCCUUGCAUGAGGCCUGAAGUGAGGUAUAUCUCUUGGCUUCUGGUUUGGCUGAGAGUGCUGUUGUGGGUAUUGGAUGGUUCAUAAAAGAUAUGGCAGGUCAUGGAGAUUCUUACUUUUCCAACAGACUCAUGCACUUGCUUUGGCUUUUGUUCAUUUUGGUCAAUUAGAGCUGAUGACUUAGCCAAGCAGGGAUUUUACAGAGGGGUUCUUUGGAUGGUUUUAAGUCACAUCAAAGGUUGUUGCUGAUAACAAAUGUUGGUCAGUCCUAUACUCCUAUCAGUGUUUAGAUGCUGGAGACUACCUUCUUCUUUUUUUUUUUUUUUUUUUUUUCGUGCUUGUGACAUAACUCAAUAUAAUACUACAAACAUAUCCUCCACUAUUAAUCUCAGUAUUGGUGGCACCUCCUUCCUACCAUAUGUGAGUAGCUUUAUCCUUUCUAUAUGCUUCAUCAUGGAUUCCCUUCUGGGCCUAUUAAGAAUAAUCUUCAUGAUUUUCUUUUUCUAAUGUCCGCAACUUCUAUUUGGUUAAGGUUCAGAAAAAUUUUCCCUGGACACACUAUCUCUUUGCUUUUUUUUGUUUUCAAACUUUGUUAAAGAGUAUACCAUGGGAGUACAAUAUUGUAGGUGUAGCUAACCAGGAUAUGGGGAGUGUUCCUAUCAUGGUAUAUUUUCUUUUCUUUUAUGUUUUUGGUUAUUUAUGGGUUUUAGAUCUAGAUUUGUACCACUUGGAUUCUGAUUUGUAUUAGUUAACAACAAGGCUAUAUAUACAGGUUGAGAAAACCACGAUAGAUAUACUAAAUCUAUUGUGGUUCAGCUCUUUCUUCUUCCUCCUUUGUUUCUUCUUCUUCUUCUUUCCUCCUCUUCUUCAAGCUCUUGUGCAGAUUGAUUCUUAGUUUCUUCAUUUUCACAUGGUUUGGUAGUUCAUUCAAGGACUGCUAUUUUUGGUUGCAACAACCUAUGCUGCCUUCAAAGUACCUACAGCCCUAGUUGAUAAAUUGUCUGUCAGGUCUGUCAAGUGUAUUUUUUUUUCAGUUCCUUCUCAGAAAUGGUGCAAGUGUUAUGAUCCUUUUAUUCAUUGGCAGUUUGUUAGUGCCAAUGUUACAUUUUUUAGAAUACUUCAUAUUGUUCCCUCCCUGCUCCUAUUUCUACUUCAAAUGCAGAUACUGAUUGUGCCCCUUAUUCCUAUACUUGUUCCCUCUGAUGAUGUUCUUGCCACUACUAAUCUUGCGCCCGUGCAAGUUUAUCUUCAUCGUAAGAAGGCAGUGCAGUCUACUUCAGCAGUCUUUGCUCAGCCCACUAUAUAGUCUAAUCCUGGUCUAAGGUUCCUCCUAUCUUUUCGUCUCCUAUUGACUUACUGGUUGUUCUUUGCUCUAAAAAAAUCCAUGAUCGCUUACGUUUAGAAAAUUAUGUUUCUAUAUCUUACCUUCCAUCUCCGCUAUGUAAUUUUGCUUUUUCUAUGUCUACUAACUCCAUUCCGAAAAAUUAUCACGAGGCUUUAUCUCAUCCUGGGUGAAAAGAGGCUAUGGAAACAGAAAUGGAUGGCUUUCUUUCUCAUUAGAGAUGGACUCUUAUGGAUUUGCCUCCAGGUAAAGAUCUUGUACAAUCUCAUAUGGCUCAAUUGAACGACUCACGCCCCAGUUGGUUGAAGGGUUAUACACAUACAUAUGCUGUGGAUUAUUUGAAAUAUUCUCCUAUGUUGCUCACCUUAAUUGUCUGUGUUCUAAAAUCUGCUGUAGUAAUUUAGACUGGCCUCUUUAUUGUGCACUGGGUAGGCCUUUUUUUUUUCUUGUCACGUGGAGAAGUAAGAACCAAAAGAUUGUGGCUAGAUCUGAUGCUGAAGCUGAGUAUGGGCUAUGACUCAUGCUACAACUGAAUUAAUUUGGUUGAAGUCAUUACUUCAAGAGUUGAUUUUCCCGGUUACUAAAUCGAUGAAGAUGUUUUAUGACAAUCAAGCUGCUAUAUAUACACAUUUCCAGCAACGGUGUUUCAUGAAAGGACCAAACACGAUCAUUUUGUGCAAAUUGCUGUUAUGAGGAAAUUAAUUUUUACUCCAUUUGUUUCUUCUGCAAAUCAGCUGAGUGAUAUGUUUACCAAGCAUCUGUACCUUCCAGAAUGAUUGGUCCAAGCUGGGCAUGGGUGACUUAUAUGCUCCAGCUUGAGGGGGAGUGUUGAAGAGUGUACCAUGGAGGUUCAAUAUUUAUGUACCAUGGGCGUACAACAUUGUAGGUGUAGCUAACCAUGAUAGGGGGAGUGUCCUUAUCGUGGUGUCUUUUCUUCCAUUUUUAUUUUUUGGUUAUUUAUGAGUUUUAGAUCUAGACAUGUAUCAAUCCUACUUAGAUUCUGAUUUGCAUUAAUUAAUGGCAAGGUUAUAUAUCUAUAUAUAUAUAUAUAUAUACAGGUUGAGAGGGCCAUAAUUGAUAUACUGAAUCUUCACGGUUCAGCUCUUUCUUCUUCUUGCUUUGCGUCUUCUUCUUCUCUCCUCUCCUUCAAGCUCUUGUGCAGAUUGGCUGUUAGUUUCUUCAUAACUUGUUAGUUAGAAGGGACUUACUUCUUACUUUCAUUUUUUCCAUCAACUAGGAGGGAGAGGCUGAACAGGAUAUUGUCCACAAAAUUGGAGCAUGAAAAAGCUGAUAGAAGUGGAGAGGUACUUCUGAAGUUCUGUGUGAUUUACUCAUGCCUUGCUUUCUGGUAGAGAAUGAGUGGAAGAGGCUGUGCUGAUGAUGUUAGAAUGAAUGAGUGGUUAGACUAGAAAAGAGGGAGUGUAGUUGUUGGUCUUCGGCAAAGCACCAAAUAGUUGAUAAUAAUGUGAGUAAUUUGACUGAUGGCCUGGUUAUUUGCAAAUUGCAAGGAAGAUCGAUUGCCUUGCUAGUGAUGAGUGAGUUGGCAUAAGUUGAAGGCUUAAAAAGGAUUAGGCGAAGGCCUGAAUGGAUGCAGAUCAAGGUAGUGAGAGAAAAAUGAUUUUGGGAAGAUUUGGCCCAAGAUAGGGGAAUACCAAGCAAGAUCCAUAUAAGUGAUCUGAAGGCAAUACAAAACAAUAUUAACACAAGCGACUCCUUAACUUGCUUUGGAUAAUCUAGUUGACUUAAGUUGAACUAAGCGUAUUUAAAUCAUGAAAUCAACUCUUUUUUUAUUUGUUUUUGAUAGUUUAUUUUUCAUUAUUUUUUUUACUUAUAUAUAUAUAUAUAUAUAGGGAAAAGGCCAAGUAUGCUAGCAGGUUACCUUGGAAUUAGGCAUGCUAGCAUCUGUUAGCGCUUAGAUGAAACAUAAGAAAUCUCAUCCGUUGGUAACAGUUGUCUUAUAUGAUCUGCCCAAUACCGCCACUCUACGGUCUUUCUUCUUUUUCAACCUUUCCCCUUCCUCUCAGUCUCUAGUUCUGCCUCCCUUCCAAAAGAAUUGUCGAUCCCUGCUGCCUCUCUCUCUCUCUCUACCCUACAAAGCAUUUUCUCCCAAAUCUGAAAUAGAAGAAAGGACAAAGUUUUCCAAAUUGUAGAGCACUAGAGCUGUACCUUAGGAGAUAACCCGUCCCCGAACAGAAGACAAAAGCUUCUUGGUGGACACAGACGGGUAUAUAAUGGUAUCUUCUCUGGCUUACCUCAACGUUCCGCCCUCGUCGAGAGCCAAUUAGAUCCAUCGUCAGACCCCACAAUCUUCAUGUGACGAGAAUUUCAGAACAGAUCUCCAUUUCAACUUUAAAACCCCAUUUGAACUUAGGCAGCUCCAUUCUCACAUACUCUGUUCUUCCUCUGUCUUUGGUUUUGCCUCCUUUCCAAAAAAAUUGUCGAUCCCUGCUGCCUCUCUCUAUCUCUCUCUUCCUCUUCUACAAAGCAUUUCUCCCAAAUCUGCACUUCCUAUUUCUUUCUCCAUUCAAUUCCUUCUUCCUCAUGCACACACAAAUAUAAAGAGGGAAAAAAGGGGAGAGAGAUAGAGAGAGAAACCGAAAGCGAGAUUAUCGUGAAGAUCAACAAUUUGCUUUCCUUGAAUCUCGUUGAUAAGAGACAAGGAGGAGAAAGAAAAAGCGAAAAAUAAAAAAGAGAUAACAGAACAAAUUCUCUUGCCUAAGCUUCAACAUGUUUACUGAGAAUGAAAUAAAAAAAAAAAAGUUUAGAAAAAUAGGAAAAGCAACGUUAAGUGUAGGAGCAGGAUUGUAACUGAAGAAUAAGCACAUAAUAGAAAAUAGAGGAGGUGGGAUUGCAAGCAAGGUGAGGGUGCAGGUUUGCAAAAGAGAUUAACCCUCACCUUGGCUGGGAUGUUAAUUAGCAGAGGGAGGGAAGCAAAGCCUGGUUGUGGUCAGUCGAGGUAGAGGGAGUUGGGAUUUUGGUAAAAACAAAUGGUGAAGGUCGUGUUGCGAUGGCGAUGGCAGGGGCGGGGAUUUGUACAGAGACGAACAAGAAGGAGAAAGGUAGAAGAAGAAGAAGGAUUGUUGAACCGAGUGUUGGGAAGGGGUGGCAAGUUGUAUAGAGGCUAAAGAGGCGGAGCGGCGGGAGGAGGGAGAUCCAGUAGAGGGCGGUGAGAGGGAGAGGAUUCAGGUCAAGCAGGGAGGGAAAAAAAAAGUGGGGGGGGAGAAGGUGCAUUAGCGGUGGAUUGAAGGUUGGGACCUCUUCUCUCAAUCCAAUGGUUUUAUUUAAGGUGAUUGAAUCCUACGCUUAAAAUUCUGCUAGCACGUAAGAUUCCUAAGUAACCCGCUAGCAUACCUAUCACUCUCCCAUAUAUAUAUAUAUAUAUAUAUUGUUACAUGUAACUACCAAGGUUUAAAGUCUUGAUACUUUAUUGGUCCGAUAUGUACCGACCAGUCUUGUUGGUAGCAUUUUUUCUUUUCUGUUUCAACCCUUCGAUGUGCCUUUAGGCCUUCUGGUGUUAGAAUAGAUCCAUUCCCAAAAACUCAUACCAGACAGUGAUAGGUCAUCUGUAUAGUUCUGCAUUAGAAAACACUAACUGUGAGCAUUUCUCUCUCUCUCUCUCCCUCUCUCCCUCUUUUUCCGUGCCCUAAACUUAUGUGCUCAGUUGCUAUAGUCAUUCCUUUAUGUAGGAGCACUAGUUAUGGCAGGUUGGUUUUUGGACAGAAAUGUAUCUACUUGUGGUCUUUUCUAUCUUCAGACAAAAAAUUCCAAUCAGUUGAUCUCCAUUUUAUGGAAAAAUUUUUAUCCUACUGAAAUGGAUUGAGUUCUUAUACAAUAUCUGCUGUCAAAAUACUUGAUAGAGAGUUACUCAAAGCACACAGGAUUGAAGCGAAAUGGUACACAUGUAUGAGGGAGUUUUUGAGCCCUAGAUCAAGCAGGUUUUGCUACCACAGUCAAAGGCAGGUAAAGCCGUGGUGCCUCGGGGGCAGAUCAAAUCAUGGAAAUUGCAGGCCCAUGAUUUUGCUAAUCACUUCUGCUUUUCAUGUUAAUGUUUCCUGGUAUAUCUCUUUGGUAAUUGAUUCUUCAAUAUUUAAUAAGAUCAGAUACUUGCUGUCUGGUUUAAAAUGUGUUCAUAUCUCAGCCCUUUAGAGACCUGCUUUUGCUUCUUAGUAUAAUAAGAUCUUCUCAUGGAA